Molecule: long non-coding RNA, 5351 nt
Filed under: Brachypodium distachyon (stiff brome)
Lineage: Eukaryota; Viridiplantae; Streptophyta; Magnoliopsida; Poales; Poaceae
Description: long non-coding RNA (BDIS_LNC000955)
Source: RNAcentral
AGAUCUUCUUAGAAAAUAUCUUUUCUUUGUUCUAAAGUUCCUAUUAUCUCUCCUCUGGGGUUUGUAAUAUUUUUUAUUUUUAUGCCUAUUUUCUCCGUAUGUUAAUGGUAUUUGAACAAUAUUAUUGCAAAAAUUGUAGUCUGCUUUUUUCAUAGAUCUUUGGGCUUGUAUAUCCAUACAUACCUUUCUUAGUUGCUUAAAAACAAAAUUAAUGGCCUGAGAUAUAUUUGAAACCGAACCAUCUGUUUGUUUCUUAUAUUCUUCAAAUAUUAUAGAUCCUAAAGGGUCAGGUAAUUUGUUAAAAUAUCUUUCUACUACCCCUUUAUUAAAACCUUGUUUAGCGGUGGUAGCAUUAUAUAAAUAAUGCUGAGAGAAUUCUUUUAUACCUUUCCAACUUGUUAACGUUAAUUUUUCUAUUUCUCGCAACCUCUCAUUCUGCAAUGUGGUAUCUCCUAAAUCUGGGUCUUCUGCUAUGACUAUAAGUGAUAUAAUGUUAGCGAAGUUAUGGGGAUUACUUCCAGCUGCUUUUAAUUCUUCAUAUUGACUAGGAAAUGUUUCUACCCAUUGUUCCCAUAAAACUUUUACAGAUUCUCCUAAAAAGGUUUCAAGAUAGGUUAUCAUAUCUUCCACCUUAUUACCUAUGCUAUGCUGAUUUUGUAUAUAUUUUUGAACUAUUAAACCUUUCCAUAUGCUAAUUAUAUUAGGCCAGUCUAUUGGGUCAUGGGCUGCUAGAUUUGAUAUUGCACCCUCAUUCUUAUAAUUUUGAAAUUGUACUGGUUUUUCAAAAUCUCUUCUUUUAGUACCCAUAUAUCUAUAUUGUUCAGGGAUGUAUGUUGGUUGGAAAUCAUCUUUUUCUGGAGGCCAUGUUCCGGCUGCUCUUCUUGGUCUUUCUCUCUCUCCUUCUCUUUUUACUGAAGUAUCACCGUAUGUCCUUCUUCUUUUGUUAUUCAUUUCUACUUCCAUAGCUUCCAUUGCAUUUUCUAAAUUGUGUAUUCCUACAUCAUCUAGAGAGUUUAUAAAGUCACUGUUAUCUUCAGAUCCAUCAAAAACUUCAUCCUCUUUAAGCAUAUCUUUUAUCGAUUCUUCUUCUUCUUCAUAACUUUCAGUUAGUAAUUUAUUAUUUAUGUCCCACUGCUCCUCUUCACCUACAUCUUUAUUUUUAUGGCUCUGGUCUGUAUUAUUGGCUUUACUACUACCAACCUUAUUUUCUUUUAUCAUUAUGUUUUUAUUUAGUCUGAUUGAACUACCAAUGACAGGCUUCUUCUCAUUUCUUAAUCUUUUUAAUCUUGCAAUCUCUCUAAUGAAAAACAAUUCCUUUUCUCUUAUCUUAGGCCAAUCUUUUGUCAUAGAAUUAUUAUAUUCCCAUUCUAUACGUUUCAAUUUUCCUUCGUAAUGAAUUAUUUCAUUGUUUAAAUCUGCCUUUUCCAUGUAUUCAGUUACGCCACUAUUUUUAUUUUCAUUAAACUCUGAUUCAGAAGCAAAAGAUUCAGUAUCAUCUAUGGUUUCAGAUUUAUAAUUUGUGAAUCUAAUGCUGCUGGUACCUUCGCAGUUUUGGUAACUUAUGUAGUUAUUAGGUUGCUUUAAUUCCUUCUUUUCAAUUAGCUCGCUUAUUUUCCACUCUUCUCCAGCUCUUUCUUCAGAACUGAUUUUAAGAGGACUCAUGAAUUUUAUACCUUUCGAUUGCAUGCUUUCAAUUACAUCGUCUACAUUUACUCUAUAUUUAGAGCUGCUUUUAUUAGUUAGUCUUCCUAUAAACUCUAUACUUACUAAUAGAUUUGUACCUUUAAAUUCUUCAUAACCUUUAGUUUGGAACCCAAGACUCAUCUUAUCGAUAAAUUCCUUCACAGGCAUCAUUAAGUCUGGAGCUAUAUAGGUUAUUAGUCUGUUUUCAUUCAUAUCUCCUUCCAUAAAGCCUAAUGAAGCUUUAUCUACUGAUCCCCAUCUUUUGUCUAAUAAUGUUAUUAACACCUUUGCUCCUAAUUUCUUUCUUGUCAUUCCUUUGACUCCUAUGAUAUACAUACCUUGAUGAAUAUAUUUAUACCCACAAUAUUUGAGUUCAGUUUCAAUAUUCUUACUCACAAUUCUUAAUUCUACUGGAUGUGUUACCACACUUAACUCCACUUCUCUGGAUAUUCUAUAUAAUCCACCUCUCCCUUCAAACAAACCCAUGUGGUAUACCUGCUGCGGUUUUAUUUUUCUCAAUGUAUCUUUUUGAUACCUUUCCAGGUCUCUUUCUAAGUCUAUAACUUCUUCUAAACUAUCGAUAUCAUCAGCCUUGCUGCAUGACAUCCUAUGCAUCAUUGUUAGCGGCUUUGAUUCUUGUCUUAUUAAUUGGAGGUUUCUGUCUCUUCUAAUGAAGCUUUUAGAUAAGUCCAUUUUUCUGAAUUAAUAUUCCUUGGUGAUGCAAUUAUUUCAGAUGAUGCUAACACAAUAUCUUUGUUACUUUGUUCACUAUUUAGCUUAUCUAAAAUCUGAAUUAAUAACUGCAGGAUUGUAUUGUUUUGUCUUAUUAUUAUUUUUGAGUCUUCCUUUGGAGAAUCGUGGUCAGAAAAGCCAAUCGACGGCGUUAAAUAUUUUUCUACUUCUUUUAAGGCUUGGCUAUAUUCAGUCAUACAAAUUACGAGAGGAUCAAAGUUUUUACUUCUUGUACUAGUCUUUUAAUUUCAGUUAUAUCUUGUCUUGUUUCAGUGCUUGGUAAAGAGUCUUUAUUUUUAUUUAGACAGUGCCCUAUGCCUUUUCCAAUGGAUAACACUUCUUCUUUAAUGUAAUCGUUAUUCUUACAAACUAUACUUUGUUUUGUUUUGGCUUCUUCUAGCUUAUGCAGAACUAUAUCAAUUUUAUUAUUCAAACUAUAGUAUUUUUCUGCAAGUUUUUGGUAUUCUUUAAAUAUAUUAUCAAAUUUUUUGUCUAGAUUAUCUUGCCUUUUUCCCCAAGAUAUAAAGAAAUUAUAUACUAAAUCAACAACUGUAUUUAGCUGACUAUGAGUAGAAUGCCAAAUAUGCUCUUCUGAGGGAUUGACUCUGCACCUUAUCUCAAUAUUUUCUUUAGUAUGUAUAACUUUACCUGCACAAACUUCUAAGUCUAGAUACUUUAAUCUUUCAAUGAUUACGACCUGACUCUGAUACCACGAAUAUUAUGUAUAAAUAGAUAUUAGAUACGUUAAUAUUCAAAUUAUUUCGGCUAAUAUUAGGUUAUAUGGUAAAUUAUGAUUAUCUUUUGCAGGAUCUUAUAAGGCUGGUGAGGCCAACGGAACUACCGACGGUUUUCGCAGUGAUGUAAUAAUCCUACUCAGUACUCACCGUAUUUAUUACUAUAUUGCUUCAGGAGUAGCUAAGUUUAUUUCCCUAAGCGUCUUUAGUCAGGUUUAUAUGGGUGAUUUCUUAUCGUCUUCCCAGGCAGUUCCACCCGAAGGGAACACUUCUCUACGGUUACAAGGUUCUCAUUUCAACGCCACACACACACGGCUUAACAGAGAACUACACGCAGAGGUUUCUCCUAUAGGAUCCCUAGCAUAAGCACCCACCCGUAUAAACACGCUAAAAAGACCGAGGGAAAAACAAAACUACUUCAUUUCACAAUAUAGCUUACAUACGGUUUUCCCUUUCGGGAACCCCCGAAGGGUUCACACAAAGAUAAAGAAAUUACCUUACUACCUUCCCAGUCUUAUGUUACAAAUGCCUUGAUUAUACAGGCUUUAUUACAGUGGGAAGUGGUACUACUACUACUAGAAAGCAGAUAGUUUUCUGGCUAACUGCCCUGAACUACUUGCUGUUCUGAAGGCUUGUGUUGUGCUCGAUGGUUGUGUGUGCUCCAAUGCUGCAAAGAGCCUCCUUAUAUAGGCACCAUGGCUGGCUCAAAUAGUGCUCCCUUGCAUUAUUUACCUCACCUUUCUCCAUGUCCAUGAUGCAUCUCCUUUAUAGGUCUUUAUAGGUCCUAGGCUUCUUUUAUAGCCUUUGGAUGCAUGCAUGCAUGGUGAUAAGGGGUCUUUUGGCCUGCCACUUCUCUUUGGUUGCAUACGAACGUGGCUUCCUUCAUCUUGGGAGUAGUCUUGUGUUUUAAUGAUAGCGUCUACGACACACUGCAGCCUUACUGUCUGCUUCCUUGACUAUUCUUCGUCUGCACACCAUAAAUCAUAGGAUCCCAUGCAUUUGUGAUCUUGGAUGCUGAUGAUGGGUCUUAUAUGCCUAAUACAUGCUAACGAUGGCUCUUAAGAUUUAAUAUUUUUCAUUAUUUUUGAUUAUUUAUAUUAAUUUUUUUAUUAAUAUUUUUUUUUUGAAUCAUAUUCAAAUCAAAUGAUAUUCUAUCAACUAUUCGGGGUACGUUAAUAUUCAAAUUAUUUCGGCUAAUAUUAGGUUAUAUGGUAAAUUAUGAUUAUCUUUUGCAGGAUCUUAUAAGGCUGGUGAGGCCAACGGAACUACCAACGGUUUUCGCAGUGAUGUAAUAAUCCUACUCAGUACUCACCGUAUUUAUUACUAUAUAUGUAUGGGAUGUAAAAAAAAUGAACGUCCUUGACAUUUUAGGCAUGCGCACACUGACAGCCAAACCAUAUUUACAGAAUAAUGUGGAAAAAAAGAUAUUGUUUGUACCCCUCGUCAGUGUAGUCCCUGACCGUUUCGUAUAUGGCAUCCAGGAGGCUUUGUUUUGGUGGCGGCAAAGGCUGCCAUUGUACGAUAUGUAUUUUAUCAUAUGAACGUUACAAAAAAGUUGCCAGAUUUCCAAUGAGCGUGCAUUCAAAAAACACACACCUUCGUAAGGUCAAGGUGCACGUAUAUACAAUGCAGGAAGUGGGUAGUGAUGUCGUUGAAGUUUGUGACGAGCCUGCGUUUGUUUUGUGCAUCCAUCCAUUACAAAUGAACAAUUUAAUUAUUAGACAGACAUAUUUGUUUUGAUAAAAAAAACAAACCUGCACAAGAAGACCUUAACUGUUGGUUCGGACGCAACCACGUCUGGUCGACCAGUCAACGAGACAUAAUCUCCAUGGCUAUCGGAAUUAAUUUUAAAAACAUUCGAAGGGGGGUGAAUUGCGGCUGCAAAUAGUACGCCUUUUUUCUAUGUCAGCAUGUAAAGUAGUCAACAAAAAAUCACUUACGGUACAGACGUGACGUGCAGGUCGAUUUCAGUGUUUGUCAGCCUGCAAUGGUACUAUCAGUUAUAUGAAAAAGGAACUGUGGACUGAGCAAUGAAAUACUUGUACUAGAUGAUAUUACCAGUAAGUACAUGGAACGCCUCCAGUGCAAUCGUUGAGUAUAAAAUCGGCCCGAGUAGCCCUUACCUGAAGUCCCAACAUCCUUCCUAGCAUCCUGACCUGGGUAUGUGUAUUGAGUUAGUUUUAUUUUCAUAUUAUUUACCGU